CCUACGGGAGGCUGCAGUGGGGAAUAUUGGGCAAUGGGCGCAAGCCUGACCCAGCAAUGCCGCGUGAAGGAAGAAGGCUUUCGGGUUGUAAACUUCUUUGACAGGGGAAGAGCAGAAGACGGUACCCUGAAAACAAGCCACGGCUAACUACGUGCCAGCAGCCGCGGUAAUACGUAGGUGGCAAGCGUUGUCCGGAUUUACUGGGUGUAAAGGGAGCGCAGACGGCAGUGCAAGUCUGGAGUGAAAGCCCGGGGCCCAACCCCGGAACUGCUCUGGAAACUGUGCGGCUAGAGUACUGGAGGGGCAGGCGGAAUUCCUAGUGUAGCGGUGAAAUGCGUAGAUAUUAGGAGGAACACCAGUGGCGAAGGCGGCCUGCUGGACAGUAACUGACGUUGAGGCUCGAAAGCGUGGGGAGCAAACAGGAUUAGAUACCCGUGUAGUC
Molecule: ribosomal RNA, 442 nt
Filed under: uncultured bacterium
Lineage: Bacteria
Description: partial 16S ribosomal RNA
Rfam family: Bacterial small subunit ribosomal RNA
Source: RNAcentral